UAAUGGACGUCUCUGUCGGCUUCAUAAUGUUACCGCUCUUGAGUCUCCCUCAAACUGGUCUCCUAAGAGGAGUAAAGACUGGACCCACUACCAGAGAUCCUGCAAGUCCAUUUUUGCCUCACACCAUACCUGGUACAACUUACUGUGUAACACCAGGAUGGACUGCCCAGACCCCAACAGUGAUUGUCUGGCAGGCAGAUGUUUAUGUCAUUCAGGCUUCAACUUCAAUGAAGCCACGAAGGAGUGUCAUGCUCCAAGGACAUCGUCAAGACUGGCAGGCAACAGGAGCCAGGAGUGGUGUCUACACCAUUCAGCUACCGAACAACAAACCUCUGGAGUAUGUGUGACAUGGAGUCUAGCGGCGCGGCUGGCUGGUCAUCCAGAGACGUCGCGACAACUCAGUUAACUUCCACCGGAACUGGACAGAAUAUGAAAACGGGUUUGGUAACAUCUCUGGAGAUUUCUGGCUGGGCCUGUCCGCACUUCACAUACUGUCGUAUUAUGGAGAUUGGCGCUUGAGAGUGGACUUCAUAGCUGAGUCAGGAACUCGUCACUGGGCUCAGUAUGGGUGGUUCUAUGUGGACAGUCCUAGGAAUAACUACGCACUUCACGCGGACGGGUACUCGGGUGAUGCGGGUACGUACGUGACCACUGAACAGUAAGAAAGAGUGAGACGCAUGUUAGAUGGCAGACUGCCUGUCUGGCUGGUGAAGAAAUAAGUGGAUCACUACGUUUUUUGAGUGUUGUAGCUUCGCGUGCAUGAUAUGUGGUGGGUGACAGCGUCUCCUAUCGCGUGCGCUUCCUUUGAUGUAACUAGAAAAAACAAGUGUAAUGAUCAGGGAAAAAGAGAAAAGAAAACGAUUUCUCGGGUUUCUUUCUUGUCCGGAUUUGUUUUCUUUUUGGCGUUCUUAGGAGGCUUCUAACCUUAUCGUUCAGUCUUGACCAGACUUGUUUAAAAGAGUAAUUUCUCGGGUUUGGCUGUCGUCCGUCAUGCCAGUCUCUUGGUGUGCUUCAUUACUCCGCCAUCUGUGACGAAUUCUUUGUUGUUUAGUUUCGGUAACAGGCUUUUUUUUUUUUACAUGGUGCGCGUUGUGAGCCCUACCACAAUCUACUGUACCUCUAGGUGAGGUGUCCACCUUAGUCGCCUCUUACGGCAUGCCUGGCUGAUGGCAGGGACCUAUUCUUACAGUAGCGGUGGCGCAACGGUAUUCGCCUGAAUGAAUGAAUGAAUGAAGAG
Long non-coding RNA from Pomacea canaliculata, 1237 nucleotides. RefSeq lists it as uncharacterized. NCBI's taxonomy places the organism in Eukaryota, Metazoa, Mollusca, Gastropoda, Architaenioglossa, Ampullariidae. The transcript is spliced from 4 exons. The record is from RefSeq and is a predicted model, not a curated record.